AGAACGAACGCUGGCGGCAUGCCUAAUACAUGCAAGUCGAACGAACUCUUCGGAGUUAGUGGCGCACGGGUGCGUAACGCGUGGGGAAUCUGCCCUUGGGUUCGGAAUAACAGUUGGAAACGACUGCUAAUACCGGAUGAUGACGAAAGUCCAAGAUUUAUCGCCCAGGGAUGAGCCCGGCGUAGGAUUAGCUUAGUUGGUGAGGUAAGCUCACCAAGGCGACGAUCCGUUAGCGUGGUCUGAGGAGUAUGAUCAGCCACUACUGGGACUGACGACACCGGCCAGCUCCGUACGGAGCAGCGAGUAGGGAAUAUGGACAGUGGGACGAAGCCUAG
RNAcentral lists this ribosomal RNA (335 nucleotides) under uncultured soil bacterium. Its description in RNAcentral is "bacterial SSU rRNA". It matches the Rfam family "Bacterial small subunit ribosomal RNA", at positions 26 to 386 of the family's 1533-position model. The record is from RNAcentral.